Molecule: ribosomal RNA, 909 nt
Filed under: uncultured bacterium
Lineage: Bacteria
Description: bacterial SSU rRNA
Rfam family: Bacterial small subunit ribosomal RNA
Source: RNAcentral
AGAGUUUGAUCAUGGCUCAGGAUGAACGCUAGCGGCAGGCCUAAUACAUGCAAGACGAACGGUAACUUGAGUAGCAAUAUUUGAGCAAGAGUGUCGUAAGGGUGCGUAACACGUAUGCAAUCUGCCCUCAACAGGAGGAUAGCUCCCCGAAAGGGGAAUUAACACUCCAUAAGAUUGUGGUCUGGCAUCAGACAGCAAUUAAAACUACGGUGGUUGAGGAUGAGCAUGCGCAUGAUUAGUUAGUUGGCGGGGUAACGGCCCACCAAGACGAUGAUCAUUAGGGGAACUGAGAGGUUGAUCCCCCACACUGGCACUGAGAUACGGGCCAGACUCCUACGGGAGGCAGCAGUAGGGAAUAUUGGACAAUGGGUGCGAGCCUGAUCCAGCCAUGCCGCGUGCAGGAAGACGGCCUUCUGGGUUGUAAACUGCUUUUGCCAGGGGAUAAAAAGUCCCUGCGGGGAAAAUUGAAGGUACCUGGUGAAUAAGCCACGGCUAACUACGUGCCAGCAGCCGCGGUAAUACGUAGGUGGCAAGCGUUGUCCGGAUUUAUUGGGUUUAAAGGGUGCGUAGGCGGUCCAUUAAGUCAGUGGUGAAAUACGGCAGCUUAACUGUCGAGGUGCCAUUGAUACUGGAGGACUUGAGUACAGACGAGGUAGGCGGAAUUGACGGUGUAGCGGUGAAAUGCUUAGAUAUCGUCAAGAACACCGAUAGCGAAGGCAGCUUACUAGACUGUAACUGACGCUGAGGCACGAAAGUGUGGGGAUCAAACAGGAUUAGAUACCCUGGUAGUCCACACUGUAAACGAUGAUUACUCGAUGUUGGCGAUACACAGCCAGCGUCUUAGCAAAAGCGAUAAGUAAUCCACCUGGGGAGUACGCCCGCAACGGUGAAACUCAAAGGAAUUGACGG